This 493-nucleotide ribosomal RNA is filed under the name uncultured bacterium. RNAcentral describes it as "partial 16S ribosomal RNA". It matches the Rfam family "Bacterial small subunit ribosomal RNA", at positions 30 to 523 of the family's 1533-position model. The record is from RNAcentral.
AUUGAACGCUGGCGGCAUGCUUUACACAUGCAAGUCGAACGGUAACAGGUUAAGCUGACGAGUGGCGAACGGGUGAGUAAUGCAUCGGAACGUGCCCGGUCGUGGGGGAUAACACUUCGAAAGAAGUGCUAAUACCGCAUACGAUCUAAGGAUGAAAGCGGGGGACCGUAAGGCCUCGCGCGAUUGGAGCGGCCGAUGUCAGAUUAGGUAGUUGGUGGGGUAAAGGCUCACCAAGCCGACGAUCUGUAGCUGGUCUGAGAGGACGACCAGCCACACGGGGACUGAGACACGGCCCAGACUCCUACGGGAGGCAGCAGUGGGGAAUUUUGGACAAUGGGCGCAAGCCUGAUCCAGCAAUGCCGCGUGCAGGAAGAAGGCCUUCGGGUUGUAAACUGCUUUUGUACGGAGCGAAAAGGCUCUCUCUAAUACAGGGGGCUGAUGACGGUACCGUAAGAAUAAGCACCGGCUAACUACGUGCCAGCAGCCGCCGUAA